Molecule: ribosomal RNA, 253 nt
Filed under: uncultured bacterium
Lineage: Bacteria
Description: partial 16S ribosomal RNA
Rfam family: Bacterial small subunit ribosomal RNA
Source: RNAcentral
GACAGAGGUGCCAAGCGUUAGGCGGAAUCACUGGGCUUAAAGCGUGUGUAGGCGGAUUUGUAAGUACCUUGUGAAAUCCCACGGCUUAACCGUGGAACUGCUCGGUAUACUGCGAAUCUUGGGCCAUCUAGGGGCGAGCGGAACAAGUGGUGGAGCGGUGAAAUGCGUAGAUAUCAGGAGGAACACCGGUGGCGAAGGCGGGUCUCUGGGCCGUAACUGACGCUGAGGAGCGAAAGCAUGGGGAGCGAACAGG